Molecule: ribosomal RNA, 476 nt
Filed under: uncultured bacterium
Lineage: Bacteria
Description: bacterial SSU rRNA
Rfam family: Bacterial small subunit ribosomal RNA
Source: RNAcentral
CUGGCGGCAUGCCUUACACAUGCAAGUCGAACGGCAGCACGGGAGCAAUCCUGGUGGCGAGUGGCGAACGGGUGAGUAAUAUAUCGGAACGUGCCCAGCGUUGGGGGAUAACGUAGCGAAAGCUACGCUAAUACCGCAUACGAUCUAUGGAUGAAANCGGGGGAUCGCAAGACCUCGCGCGAUUGGAGCGGCCGAUAUCAGAUUAGGUAGUUGGUGAGGUAAAGGCUCACCAAGCCGACGAUCUGUAGCUGGUCUGAGAGGACGACCAGCCACACUGGGACUGAGACACGGCCCAGACUCCUACGGGAGGCAGCAGUGGGGAAUUUUGGACAAUGGGCGCAAGCCUGAUCCAGCAAUGCCGCGUGCAGGAUGAAGGCCUUCGGGUUGUAAACUGCUUUUGUACGGAACGAAACGGUGAGCUCUAAUACAGUUUGCUAAUGACGGUACCGUAAAAAUAAGCACCGGCUAACUACGUG